Molecule: small nucleolar RNA, 114 nt
Organism: Plasmodium malariae
Lineage: Eukaryota; Apicomplexa; Aconoidasida; Haemosporida; Plasmodiidae
Source: RefSeq, a predicted model, not a curated record
UAAUUAUUUCAAAAUGAUGAAAAUCAUUACCCAGCUCAUCUGAAAAAGAAUACUUUGAAGAUACUUUUUCAUGCAUCACAAUCUGAUUGAAAUAAUUUAUUAUUACAGAAACAA